RNAcentral lists this ribosomal RNA (735 nucleotides) under uncultured Fusobacterium sp. RNAcentral's name for it is "bacterial SSU rRNA". It matches the Rfam family "Bacterial small subunit ribosomal RNA", at positions 28 to 776 of the family's 1533-position model. The record is from RNAcentral. Lineage: Bacteria; Fusobacteriati; Fusobacteriota; Fusobacteriia; Fusobacteriales; Fusobacteriaceae.
GAUGAACGCUGACAGAAUGCUUAACACAUGCAAGUCAACUUGAAUUUGGGUUUUUAACUUAGAUUUGGGUGGCGGACGGGUGAGUAACGCGUAAAGAACUUGCCUCACAGUUAGGGACAACAUUUAGAAAUGAAUGCUAAUACCUGAUAUUAUGAUUUUAAGGCAUCUUAGAAUUAUGAAAGCUAUAAGCACUGUGAGAGAGCUUUGCGUCCCAUUAGCUAGUUGGAGAGGUAACAGCUCACCAAGGCGAUGAUGGGUAGCCGGCCUGAGAGGGUGAACGGCCACAAGGGGACUGAGACACGGCCCUUACUCCUACGGGAGGCAGCAGUGGGGAAUAUUGGACAAUGGACCGAGAGUCUGAUCCAGCAAUUCUGUGUGCACGAUGAAGUUUUUCGGAAUGUAAAGUGCUUUCAGUUGGGAAGAAAAAAAUGACGGUACCAACAGAAGAAGUGACGGCUAAAUACGUGCCAGCAGCCGCGGUAAUACGUAUGUCACGAGCGUUAUUCGGAUUUAUUGGGCGUAAAGCGCGUCUAGGUGGUUAUGUAAGUCUGAUGUGAAAAUGCAGGGCUCAACUCUGUAUUGCGUUGGAAACUGUAUAACUAGAGUACUGGAGAGGUAAGCGGAACUACGAGUGUAGAGGUGAAAUUCGUAGAUAUUUGUAGGAAUGCCGAUGGGGAAGCCAGCUUACUGGACAGAUACUGACGCUAAAGCGCGAAAGCGUGGGUAGCAAACAGG